This 253-nucleotide ribosomal RNA is filed under the name uncultured bacterium. RNAcentral describes it as "partial 16S ribosomal RNA". It matches the Rfam family "Bacterial small subunit ribosomal RNA", at positions 524 to 776 of the family's 1533-position model. The record is from RNAcentral.
UACGAAGGGUGCAAGCGUUACUCGGAAUUACUGGGCGUAAAGCGUGCGUAGGUGGUUCGUUAAGUCUGAUGUGAAAGCCCUGGGCUCAACCUGGGAAUGGCAUUGGAAACUGGCGACCUAGAGUGCGGUAGAGGGUAGUGGAAUUCCCGGUGUAGUGGUGAAAUGCGUAGAUAUCGGGAGGAACACCAGUGGCGCAAGCGGCCGCCUGGCACUGACCUGACACUGAGCCACGACGGCGUGGGGAGCAAACGGG